CCUCUCCCUCCUGCUCCUCUCUCUGCCCUCCCAGUUAAUCCGUGCGCCCCUCUCCCCUCCUCUCCGACACCCCGCUUCCUUCUGCCCGCCCCAGCCCCUUCUUCUGCACCCUCCUGCCCUCUCCUCCCUCCUCCCCGCCUCCUCUGCGCCUCUGCCGGGCUAGCCGAGCUCCCACGCGGUUGCUAUGGAGUCGCUCGGGGCUUCGUGCCUGCUGGCGGGAGGGGCCCCGGGCCUCUGGGACCAACCGAAGUCUGUGCCCAAGCCUUGGGCGCCUCGCCCGUCGGGGAUUAGGAACAAAGCGCGCCCUCGUCAGCCUCGGGGGAUGCGCCCUGAGACCUUCCUCGACCCAGGCCGGAGGCUUAAGACCACCAAGAAACCGCUUGCCCUCGGCCUCUCCUUGGGCAGGACCCCUGGGGCCGAGAUGUCUCGUUGCAUUCACUCCUCGUCAUCCAGACAGAAGCUCUACCUGAAGGAUAGGGCAGAGUAAGAUUCCCAAGUCAUGCUGUUGUCUCCGUGAUGGGCCUAGGGGUGGAAAACCUCUGUCAGCAUGGGGUCUACUGACAAGGGGAGCUGGUGGGUGUUGGGUGGAAGAGCUCCUAGGCUCCAAGCUGGGGGAAGAAGACUUCUACUUGCACAAUGAGAACAAAGUCGGGUAGAGCCCACAAAUGGUGGACUGGGGACUGGAAAGAAAGAGCCCCUCAGGAGAGAGACUUUCAACUGCCUGGAAAAUUUAUUCUCUGGAUAACAAAUAUGUAACAACAACAAAAUAAAACAAGGAGAUCAAGGGGGUAGUGGAUUGACUCAUGGGCCCAGCUGAAUUGAAUCAGCGUGGUCUGGGCGUGGAGGGUCCACCUGAGGAUUGUUACCAUUCACCAUAAAAAGAGAACUGGAGAGGAAGAUCUUGGUCUGUUGAGUUUUUAGGAGAAGCUUGCUGCAGAUGGUUUUUCUGAUGUGACCUAUGCUGUUCUCAUUGGAGGAGGAGCUCAGGACCUCGCUGUUGCUGGUCAGGGGAGCUCUGACCUUCACCGUGAGCAUCACUUCCUGGCUCCAAUAUGGAUCCCUCAGCCUGGUGGCACAAAUCCUUCACCCCACUGGUGUAGGUUUUCUGGCUUCCACCCCAGCCUCUGGGCCUUCCAGGUGCAGAUCCUCAGUACGGACAAGCGUGAGACAUUGCCGUGGGCUCCAGGCCACUGGCUGGACUCAUGGAGGACAUUGCCUUGGAUUCUAGGCCUUCAGCUGCACUUGUGUGGGACAUUGGUGGGAUCCGGGCCCUCAGCUGGAUUCUUUGGGUCUCUAGUGUGCAGUGAAUCUCCCUUGCACUCAUUUGCAUUUGAUUUUUUGCGUAGUUAUCAUAAAAUAAUCCCAUAAAUCGUGUGUCCUAUAUUUAAUGUAUUCCCUUGACCAAAUCCUAACUACAGCAAAGGGAGAAAGGAAGGAAGAACAACAGAGCUCAUUGAAGGACAAAAAAAGGUGCAGAAAAAGCAAACAAAAGAGCUAUAUAUAUGAAGUGGCAGCAAACAUGAGCUGAUUACUAAUCUUGAUUCUCAACUGCAAACUAGGGAUCUCUGUUAUGGAGCUAUAGUGGGGAAAUGAGGCAAUAUAAUUAAAGACUGUGCUGGAAUGCUGGGGUAGACCUUAUGAUUGUGACAACUCCUAAAUGUAGGCGUGGCUGCUUCUCUGAACACAGUAGAGAAGUUAAAACAAACCCAUAUUUUUUUUCUGGGUCAAAUUCUAAGAUACCUGUACUCGUUGGCGGUUGAAAAUAAGUUUUUUAAUAUGGCAGUGUUUUUCCCAAUUGUAGUUGAUCUUAAAAGGUUACCUACAAAAUAGGUACCUGCGAAGUCAGGACAUCAGUUUGAAUUUCCAAAGGAAAUGACUGUACCAUCUCAGGAGCAUAGUGAGGGUUCUGGGUUGUGUCUGGCUGUGUGUGUACAUCACGGGGGAACAUCAUCUGCUUGAGUGGCUUUGUUUGGCUGUCAUCAGGACCGUUCACAGACGUUCCGUUCUCCUCCUCCGGACUACGUGGUAGAAUUUCACUUUCUGACCCUUUGAGGCUAGGCCUGCCCAUGGGGCUUUCUUUGUCAAUGACAUGUGUUUAGAAGUGAUUCCUGUCGCUAUUUAGAAGCCUGACCGCAAGAGCUAUGAGACAAUGUUGAGAUGGAGUCUCUGUCAGUCUGGCUUCUCAGGUGACUCCAGGGAGCAGAGAGCCCCUGACAACUUGCAUGACAUAUACACACAGGAGAGACAAAAAAUAUAUCUUUGCUGUGCUUCUCCACUGUUGGUUUUGUUACUGCCACAUACGUUGGCCCAUCCUGACUGAUGUAUUUGAUUUUCCAGGGGGUUGAUUGUUGUUGUAAUUUAAGGAGAGAGAGGUGUUGCUGGAAGCUGAGGGAUUCUUCACUGCUGAUUUUUGUUGUUGUCUUUUUUUUUUUUUUUUUUUUUUUUUGAGAGAGGGUCUUGCUGUGUAGUUCAGGCUAAUCUUGAACUCACUAUGUAGCUCAGGGUGGCCUUGAACUUGCACCGAUCCUCCCAAGUGUUGGGAUUACAGGCAUGUGCCACUACACUUGGCUUCACAGCUGAUUUUUUUGUUUUGUUUUGUUUUACAGUUGUAUUUAUUAGUAUAUUUUCAGUGCAUGUUCUUGUAGUAACAAGGACUUUUUACAUUAAUUAUUUUGGUACAUUUUAGGUAUACAACAUGCUGACAUUCUUUAUUAGGGACUUGUGCCUUUACGUAAUGUAUCUUUUUUUUGUGGGGGUACCAAACUCGGGUCCUUGAGCCUGAAAGGCAGGCGGCAGAACCACUGAGCUAAAUCCCCAGCCCUACACAAUAUAUCUUGAUUCUUAAUUUUUUCCCCAUUCCCCUGCCCUCCUUCCAACCCUUCCACAUCUUCCUAUUUACAGAGGCUUUGUUUCCAUUUUUUCCUUUUCUCAUAUUUAUUUCUUUCCCUCCUCUCUUUUCCCCUGCCUUUCUCACUGCCCCUUCCCCUUCCCCUUUGGACCUUUACUUCUUAUGUCACAUUAUCUAUGAUAUAUUUUGAUUCUCAUUUAUGCUUUUAGUUUUUCACACCAAAGAAACGAUUCUGUAUUUACAUGUGUGACUGGUCAUUGGAGAAAUGCAAAUGAAAACAAUACUGAGAAUCCACCUCACCCCAGAAAGAAUGGCUGCUCUCAGGAAAUCAACCAAUAAGAAAUGCUGACAGGUUGUGGGGAGGGAAAAAAACCCUUCUCCACUGUUAUUUUUUUAAAGCUUAUUGAGUUUAUUGGUACUUUUUAAGGAUACAGUACAGUAACAUUCAUCAUUGUGAUCUUGUACCUUUACAGGACAGGUCUUGGUUCUCAUUUUUCCCCCAUAUCCCUGCUCCUUCCUCAUUGUUGGUGUGAGUGCAGAUUGGUGCAACCACUGUGAAAUCAAUAUGGAGAUACCUCAAAGAACUAGCAUUAGAGGUUCCAUUUGAUCCAGCCAUCCCUCUGCUGGGUAUCUUCCCAAAAGAAUAAAAAGACUCAUACCACAAUGAUAUAUGUGCACCCAUGUUCAUGGUGACAUAGUUUGUAAUAGCUAAAACUUGGAAACAGCCCAAUUUCCCAUCAACUGGAGACUGGAUAAAGGAAAUGUGCUUUAAAAAAAAAUAAAACUGAGUACUACUCAGCCAUAAAGAAGGAGAAACUAGGCCAGGAUUUGGCUCAGUAGCAUUGUGCCUGCCUCGCAAGCACAAGGUCCUGAGAUCGACCCCCACUAUCAAAAAAAAAAAAAAAAAAGAGAAACUAGAGCCAGGUA
This 3775-nucleotide long non-coding RNA is filed under the name Fukomys damarensis (Damara mole-rat). Its description in RNAcentral is "lncRNA (ENSFDAG00000027453.1)". The record is from RNAcentral. Lineage: Eukaryota; Metazoa; Chordata; Mammalia; Rodentia; Bathyergidae.